GACGAACGCUGGCGGCGUGCCUAAUACAUGCAAGUAGAACGCACAGUUUAUACCGUAGCUUGCUACACCAUAAACUGUGAGUUGCGAACGGGUGAGUAACGCGUAGGUAACCCGCCUGGUAGCGGGGGAUAACUAUUGGAAACGAUAGCUAAUACCGCAUAAUAUUAAUUAUUGCAUGAUAAUUGAUUGAAAGAUGCAAUUGCAUCACUACCAGAUGGACCUGCGUUGUAUUAGCUAGUAGGUGAGGUAACGGCUCACCUAGGCGACGAUACAUAGCCGACCUGAGAGGGUGAUCGGCCACACUGGGACUGAGACACGGCCCAGACUCCUACGGGAGGCAGCAGUAGGGAAUCUUCGGCAAUGGACGAAAGUCUGACCGAGCAACGCCGCGUGAGUGAAGAAGGUUUUCGGAUCGUAAAGCUCUGUUGUAAGAGAAGAACGGGUGUGAGAGUGGAAAGUUCACACUGUGACGGUAGCUUACCAGAAAGGGACGGCUAACUACGUG
This 505-nucleotide ribosomal RNA is filed under the name uncultured bacterium. RNAcentral describes it as "partial 16S ribosomal RNA". It matches the Rfam family "Bacterial small subunit ribosomal RNA", at positions 28 to 507 of the family's 1533-position model. The record is from RNAcentral.